GUCCACGCUGUAAACGAUGAGCACUAGGUGUCGUGGGUAUUGACCCCCGCGGUGCCGACGCUAACGCAUUAAGUGCUCCGCCUGGGGACUACGGCCGCAAGGCUAAAACUCAAAGGAAUUGACGGGGGCCCGCACAAGCGGUGGAGCAUGUGGUUCAAUUCGACGCAACGCGAAGAACCUUACCUGGGCUAGACAACGGAGGACCGCUCCAGAGAUGGGGCUUUCCCUUCGGGGACCUUCGGUUCAGGUGCUGCAUGGCUGUCGU
This 265-nucleotide ribosomal RNA is filed under the name uncultured bacterium. RNAcentral describes it as "partial 16S ribosomal RNA". It matches the Rfam family "Bacterial small subunit ribosomal RNA", at positions 793 to 1055 of the family's 1533-position model. The record is from RNAcentral.